This 772-nucleotide ribosomal RNA is filed under the name Candidatus Ruminococcus avistercoris. RNAcentral's name for it is "bacterial SSU rRNA". It matches the Rfam family "Bacterial small subunit ribosomal RNA", at positions 1 to 771 of the family's 1533-position model. Lineage: Bacteria; Bacillati; Bacillota; Clostridia; Eubacteriales; Oscillospiraceae. The record is from RNAcentral.
UCAUUUGAGAGUUUGAUCCUGGCUCAGGAUGAACGCUGGCGGCGUGCUUAACACAUGCAAGUCGAACGAAGCGGCUGGACGGAAGUUUUCGGAUGGAAGACCGGCUGACUGAGUGGCGGACGGGUGAGUAACGCGUGGGUAACCUGCCGUAUACAGGGGGAUAACAGAGAGAAAUUUCUGCUAAUACCGCAUAAGCGCACAAAGACCGCAUGGUCCGGUGUGAAAAGCCGAGACGGUAUACGAUGGACCCGCGUCUGAUUAGGCAGUUGGUGGGGUAACGGCCUACCAAACCGACGAUCAGUAGCCGGCCUGAGAGGGUGGACGGCCACAUUGGGACUGAGACACGGCCCAAACUCCUACGGGAGGCAGCAGUGGGGAAUAUUGCACAAUGGGGGAAACCCUGAUGCAGCGACGCCGCGUGAGCGAAGAAGUAUUUCGGUAUGUAAAGCUCUAUCAGCAGGGAAGAAGAAAGACGGUACCUGACUAAGAAGCCCCGGCUAACUACGUGCCAGCAGCCGCGGUAAUACGUAGGGGGCAAGCGUUAUCCGGAUUUACUGGGUGUAAAGGGAGCGCAGACGGCAUGGCAAGUCUGAAGUGAAAGGCAUGGGCUCAACCCGUGGACUGCUUUGGAAACUGUCAGGCUAGAGUGUCGGAGAGGCAAGUGGAAUUCCUAGUGUAGCGGUGAAAUGCGUAGAUAUUAGGAGGAACACCAGUGGCGAAGGCGGCUUGCUGGACGAUGACUGACGUUGAGGCUCGAAAGCGUGGGGAGCAA